GCCAUCAAGAAAAAUAUUUUAAAUGUUUAUUUUUAAAUCAACUGAAAAAUAUUUUAGUCUUUUUUAAUAUGGUUAAUAUUUAUCUUACUCUAUCAAGUUAAACUUUUUUUUUUAAAAUGAAAAUAUUUUAAAAUUCAUAUUAUUUUAUUUAAUAAUGUAUUUCAAUUAUAUGAAUGUAUGAAUCCGAAUAUAAAUCUUCAAGUUCUAAGGCAUACUAAAGGUAUAAACUAUAAAGUUCCCUAGUCUUCAAAUAUCUUGUCGUUUAUAUUGUUAAUUUUUUCUUUUUCUAAUAAACUUUAAAAAUAAUCACUUAUUUUCAUAUUUAAUGUGAAACUUUUGGCACUGUUAGAAUUUAGGAAUAUUCUUUUUAUUUUUAUAAAUUUUAUUCUUUUGACACUCACAAAAAAAAUGACCUGACCGAUCGUCAUGCUCUUAAAUCAAUCAACCUCUUCAAGGGGAUUUCAUAACUUUGGGGCACUAGAUCUAUCAUUAGUGUUAACGCCGCAAUGAAGAAAGUGAAACCAUUUAAAAAAAAAAAGUUUAUUAUAGCUUAAUGGCGUGUACAUUGGAUGUUUCUUCAUAAGUUUAUCACUUCAAAAAAAAAAUAUAUAUACAUAUAAUAUAAUAUUUUUUUUAUUAUGAGAAUUUCUCAUAAAAAAAUGAGAACGAUUUUCAAAUGGAAUGGUCCAAUGCACAUGGUCUAAGAGCAAGUGCAUUAGCGUAUGUUUCCACCGUCCUUCAGUAUUAAAAUUAAAAAGUUAAAUCGAAAUAAAGAGAUUAUAGAAGAAACGUUCCUCCAAACGGGACGUAAUUUGCUGUAUCCUCCAUUACACGUAGCAGCGUCGGACAGUUCUUUGACUCCGUCGGUUCCUUCUUCACCGGCAGCGAUAAGAUUCCUUGGUGCGACGGAGAUGUCAUCGCUGGAUGUGAAAGAGAGAUUAAAGAGGCCACAGAUUCUGGCGCUGAGGAUCUUAAGAAAGAAUGCUUAAUGUGAUUGUCGUGGUCUCUUGUUCAUUCCCGUCAACCCGAAAUGACCAACUAUGAGUGACACCAAUGCUCAUACCAAACUUAGAAAACUCUGAAAAUAAUAUUAAUAUAUUUAAGGGACCAAUGCCCAUGCUCUAAGGUCCCGCUUACAUGUUCCCAUUAAUCGUCCAACGCGCUAGGUCUCCACUCUUACCCUUAAUUGAAAGUGUUGUAGUUUAUUUUUCCAAACUCGAUAUAAAUUUAAAUGUUUACAACUGCAUCCAACAAUCUUCUGAAAUUUCUAGAGGA
Camelina sativa (false flax) is the source of this 1275-nucleotide long non-coding RNA. RefSeq lists it as uncharacterized. NCBI's taxonomy places the organism in Eukaryota, Viridiplantae, Streptophyta, Magnoliopsida, Brassicales, Brassicaceae. The record is from RefSeq and is a predicted model, not a curated record.